Molecule: RNA transcript, 2239 nt
Organism: Cucumis melo (muskmelon)
Lineage: Eukaryota; Viridiplantae; Streptophyta; Magnoliopsida; Cucurbitales; Cucurbitaceae
Gene name: probable envelope ADP,ATP carrier protein, chloroplastic
Exons: 12
Source: RefSeq, a predicted model, not a curated record
GCAAAUAUUCAAACAUCCUACUUAUAAUAAAAGUUGACAUGAACAAUUUAAAUCUUGCUAUUAGAGUCCAUGAUACAAGAUAAUAAGUGAUUGACUACGUUGUACCUUAGAAAUGUUGCUUUCCAUAAAAGCUCGAUGACUAAAGUUGAUUUACUGAGGAUGAAUUCAAUAAUUAAAACCAAAGGAUUCCCAGCCAAGCUAUUUUACACGGGCCGAGAGAAGCAAAACUGGGCUCAAAGCCCAACAAGCUUCCGAACGUACAACGUCAACGAAAAUAUCUGGCUGCCAAAUGGGAUCCACUUGUCAAGGGAGGAUUAGGCAUUCAGAUUUGUACGCUUCGCUCAGCGUGUUUGCUUCCGAUCCCAUUGCGUCGUUGGUUGGUAAUUUAUUUGGUGCCUGUUUCCCUGCCUUAGCUAUUCAGACUCACUUCCGUUCAGGACUAUGCCGGAAGAAAAGAAGCCAGUAAUUGUAUGGCGGAAUAUCGGAAAGCUUGAAGCCUCUGCUCGUCGAUCCUUCAACACUACGGACGGUGAACCACUCUGGAAAAGCAAUAAGCGAUUUGGCGCCAGUGGUGGUAGUGGUAGUGAUGGCGAUGGCACUAGUUGUAAAUUUGCCUGCAUUACUGUUGUAGAAAAGAGAAACCGGAAGGAGUUCCUGCCGACGUCUGCUCAGUUGCUUAAGCAUCCAUUAUCGAUUCUUGCUUUGGUGCACAGAGAAGCAACGCUCUUCGCCGCUGGUGCUGUAUCGGGGGCGGUUGCGAAGACUGCCACUGCUCCGCUCGAGCGAAUCAAGCUUCUUAUGCAGACUCAAGGAGCAAGAAUUGCGGAAGAAGGAGCUAAGAAGUCUAUUGGUUUUAUUGAGGCAAUAAGAACCAUAGUAAAGGUGGAAGGAGUUAAAGGACUUUGGAAAGGGAACUUUCCUCAGGUUAUACGCAUCAUACCAUAUAGUGCUAUCCAGCUCUUUGCGUAUGAAAAUUAUAAGAACCUUUUCAGGGGGAAAGAUGGAGAACUUUCUUUGAUCGGGAGACUCGCUGCUGGUGCUUGUGCUGGCAUGACAUCCACCUUCGUGACAUAUCCAUUAGAUGUUUUGAGGUUACGCAUGGCAGUUGAUCCUGGGUUUCGAACGGCAUCUGAGAUUGCCUUAAGUAUGCUACGAGAGGAAGGCAGUACGUCUUACUACAGUGGUCUUGGACCAUCCCUUUUUGGCAUAGCCCCUUACAUUGCCGUGAACUUUUGCAUUUUUGACUUGGUAAAAAAAUCUUUGCCAGAGGAAGCUCGAAGGAGAACCGAAACGUCUUUAUUCACAGCCUUGCUUUCGGCUUCCCUAGCCACGGUCAUGUGCUAUCCUUUGGACACCGUGAGAAGACAGAUGCAAAUGAAGGGUACACCUUACAAGACAGUGUUUGAUGCUUUUGCAGGUAUAUGGGCUGGUCAUAGAUUUAUUGGAUUCUAUAGGGGUUUACUGCCCAACUUCUUGAAGAAUUUACCAAGCAGCAGCAUCAAACUUACCACAUAUGACUUCGUCAAGCGUCUUAUUGAGGCCAGUGAAAAUGAGUACCAGAGAAUUACCGAGGAAAAUCGUGAAAAGUAUAACCAAAAGUUCAGUGAUUAAAUUUUCCCGAAUUGGUUCUUUGCGAUCUUUAUCCAUCAUAUGUUGUCAUCGCGGUUCGAUGAAAGCCAGAACAAGAAGGUUCAAAACUAGUUGGUUGUUUGGGAGGUUGAAAUUUUGCGUUGAAUCCAGCUUCAUCACAAGACAACAGCCAAACCCUUUCUCGACUACAUAAUGCCAAUGAUUGUGGUUGUGUAGUAAGCAUGAUUGCUUACACUUUCCUUUUGCAUCUUUGACAAUUGUACCCACUCCUUUUCGUACCUUUGUUAGUUUUGUAGAGAUUAGCUGAUGAGAGUAGCAGCCUUUGUUGUUGUGUUCCCUCCUUUGCUCGUGUUUUUUCCUCCUCUGUUGUUGGCUCUCACUACACCCAGACAUAAUUCUUGGCCCAGAACAAUAAUGAUUGUGGUCGUGAAAUUGAAGCCUUUGCUUCCUUUUUCUCUUCAAAAAUUGCCGCAGAUUUUGCUUAUUUAGAUCACUUUUCUCUUUUUUGGAGUGAAAUUAAACGUGAGCUUCCUAUUUUACCUUCUCCAAGUAAAAGAAAUUGCUAUGAGCAAUGAUUAAUUGGAAGUUAUUGAGGGCUGGACCCUCAAUAAUUUUACUCUCUUUAUAAUAAUAAUUAUUAUUAGUAUUA